UACGGGGGGGGCAAGCGUUGUUCGGAAUUACUGGGCGUAAAGGGCGCGUAGGCGGCUCGACAAGUCCCGCGUGAAAGCCCCCGGCUCAACUGGGGAACUGCGCGGGAAACUGUCGGACUUGAGUUCGGGAGAGGGAAGCGGAAUUCCGGGUGUAGCGGUGAAAUGCGUAGAUAUCCGGAGGAACACCGGUGGCGAAGGCGGCUUCCUGGACCGACACUGACGCUGAGGCGCGAAAGCUAGGGGAGCAAACGGG
Molecule: ribosomal RNA, 253 nt
Filed under: uncultured bacterium
Lineage: Bacteria
Description: partial 16S ribosomal RNA
Rfam family: Bacterial small subunit ribosomal RNA
Source: RNAcentral